GUGGUGUUAUGGUUGUUCCGGCGGCGUUGCUGCUCCACCCUAAGUCCAUGAAUGAGUAUGGUCAAAAGGACAUGGCCCACAGAGGGUGACAGGCCCGUGGGGGUGGAGAUCAGGCAGGCCAGUGACGCCCUGGAUAGACCUUGGAGUCGGGUUGUUUGUGAUUGCAGCCCAAAGUGGGUGGUAAACUCCAUCUAAGGCUAAAUACCAACACGAGUCCGAUAGCAAAACAAGUACCGUGAGGGAAAGUUGAAAAGUACUUUGAAGAGAGAGUAAACAGUGCGUGAAACCGAUCAGAGGUAAACGGGUGGAGUUGAACUGCAAGCUCUGAGAAUUCAGCCGGUGAGCGUGGUUUGAGCUUGGUCAAGUCAGUUGGACGCUGUGGUCCGAGAAGCACUUAGCAAGUGUUGUGGGCCAAUGGUUGUUCUUCGGGCUGGCUUGCCGGUGCACUUUCUCAGAGUGAUCACCACGACCGGCAUUGCUGUCUGACUGGUGAGGUUAAACCGGUUUUUGCAUGGCCCAGUGCCUCCGCUUGAUCGGGAUGGCAGGUAGCUCGUUGGCCUGCUCGCGGGUUUUCGAGUGUAAUCAGCUGACCACAUCGGUUCUGUGCAGUAUGUCGGAGACGGCGGCUAGUGUGCGUGCGUGCAUAGCUGUUCGGCGCGUCCGGGUUCGGUUGUCCUGUUGCCUGUUUGUGCAGGC
RNAcentral lists this ribosomal RNA (696 nucleotides) under Cercaria vorskla. Its description in RNAcentral is "partial large subunit ribosomal RNA". It matches the Rfam family "Eukaryotic large subunit ribosomal RNA", at positions 145 to 628 of the family's 3401-position model. Lineage: Eukaryota; Metazoa; Platyhelminthes; Trematoda. The record is from RNAcentral.